This is a long non-coding RNA of Magnolia sinica, 609 nucleotides long. RefSeq lists it as uncharacterized. The transcript has 2 exons. The record is from RefSeq and is a predicted model, not a curated record. Lineage: Eukaryota; Viridiplantae; Streptophyta; Magnoliopsida; Magnoliales; Magnoliaceae.
AAUUAAGGAGCAGAUUAUAAUGUGAAGAAAAAUAGAAGUGCAAAAGAACUCAACAUCGACAGACUAGGAGCUUUAUCCCCAUUGAUUUGGUAGGAUCUUCGGUAACAGCUAGAACUCAUAAUCACUGACCGCGAAAUGUCCAAGGAACUGAUUUCAGGCUUCAGGUGACCAUGGCUAAGUAAACCUGAAUUAAUUGGACCAUUUAGUAGGUUGGCCCACAUGAAAGUCUGGAAUUUGAUGGAUAGGUUUGGUUUCUGGAUUUGAUCUUAUCAAAAAAUUUCCCCCUUUUUGUAAGAGAGUGCAGUGGGGAUUGAUUUCGUUAGCAAGUAGAUGCAUUAAAGAUACAAACAGUCUAUGGGAUGUGAUUCCAAGUUUCAGCCUUGCUUGGGUAGAUCAUUAGAUCGUAUUGUCUUUGUGAAUGGGAAGGGUUGGAAAGAAUGCUUGAGAAGGAUAGAAAAUGAACAUCCAUAGCUGUUGAAGUCUUCACAUUCCUUGAUCAAUAGGUGAGACAUGAGAUCCAUGUUGAUUGAUCCGACCAUUGAUCAAUGGUCUAGACCAUCCAUGUGAAGAUACACAAACGGUAUGUAUGGCUCAUUGACUGUAGGUUUU